Heterocephalus glaber (naked mole-rat) is the source of this 2655-nucleotide long non-coding RNA. NCBI's taxonomy places the organism in Eukaryota, Metazoa, Chordata, Mammalia, Rodentia, Bathyergidae. The record is from Ensembl.
UUAUCCACUGUCAAUACUGUACUUUUGAUGCAAUAUAUUUGCCAAAAAACCCAUCAGCUUUUAUUUUCCAUUUUAAACAACUACAAUAUUUACAGGUUUAGAAUAACAUUCAGACACACACACACACACUCACAGACACGCGCAAAUACAUACAUAUAUCCUUAUCUCUGGUUUACACUGAAUGCUGGUAAAGGCGAUGAACACUUUCCAGAGCCCAUGAUCAGAAAAGGGAGACCUAUUUUUCUUUACUCUCCUGGAGCCAUUUUUAAUAUUCCUCCUUCCAUUUCCUCAUGUGGAGCUCAUUGCCAGCCUUAUACAGGGUUAACAAUUAUUUUUUACAAUUUACUUUUAAACUAUAAGCUUUUAAAAAGCAUAAGCAGAUACAACCCUCUCCCUUUCUAUUAUUUUGGUUGUAGAAUCAAGUUUCAUAUAUUUAAAAAAAUGUUGUUCAGCCAUAAGUAUACUAAACCCAAGAGUCAUCUGGAGCAGCCAUCUCCUUCUCUACUACUCUUCUGUUCUGAAUUCUAGGGCAUCGGCUCAUCUGCACAAGUAACACCCAGGAAUUCAUCCCAAUACAUGUCAGAUGACCUCUGUUCCUUCCAGCAUGGCUCCACUGAAUUAUAAAUUGUCGCGUACAGAGCUGAGGCAUAUGAAAAAAGUAAACCCUAUGUAAUAGGUAUAAGUCUUAGAACAAAGUUGCCAUACAAUCUUGCAGUGACAAUCAGCUCUAGUUCCCCCAUGGAGCAUUAUGUUGAUCUCACAACAGGGCCAAUAAUGAAGUUCAGCUCACAAAUGAGUUAUUUACUAAUUCAGAAAGAAUAUGUGGCUUACAGAUAACACAAAGAAAGUCCAUAACACAUAAUUCUUGACCGGUGACUCUGGUGAGGUGAUUCAUAGCAGAAAAUAUACCUCUGUUUCAAGCAAAAUUAAUACUCUAUGCAUAUCCUACCAAAUCUAUUUUAUAAUAAUUAAUUCCUUUCCAAUUACAGUUCUUACCUAAAUAUUUAACAAGGUUAAAAUAAUAAGACCUGGUUGUUUAUCACCUACCAUAUUUAUAAAAGAAAUGAAGCAAAGAGGAGCUGGCUUUUCAAUGCUUAUUUUUUUAAAAGGUUACACAUAUCCAACAUAGUAUUAAAAUUUAUGCUGCCUAAAUAUAUGGUAAUAUCUAAUUUCUUGUUUCCCCUGCUCAAUAAAAAUCUAUAUCCAUAUAAGACUAACACAGACAAUUCAAAGUCCAUUAACAAGUUCCAUGUACCAUCUUAUCCUUGACAUUUUUCUCUCUGCUGAUCUUAGAGUGAAAGGGAAAGCCUCUGGAAUAAAAAAAAGUAUUUUAUAUCUUAUUUGAACAACGGAAGGUUAAAUGAAAAAAUUAACUGUGUCUGUGUUUGGACAGAGUAACUUUAUAUGAUUGCAUCACAUUAUGAAAGAGAAUGAGAGUUAAAUACUGAGGAUUCAAAAAGCACCCCUGGCCCAAAUAACAAAAACCAGAAAGGGGUUUGUUUAUAUUUAUGAAAAAGUAAUUCGAAUAUAACAAUCUGGGGAGUGGUUUAGGAGUUAGUCAACAUAAAUUUUUUAAAUUCCCACAUAAAACUACUAUUAUUUAUUUUCUCAAGUCACAUAUUUAUUUAGGAUGAAAUAGGCUUAAAAGUUGGUUCAAAUUUUAAAAAACACUAUUUUAGACAAAUCAUAAGAUUAAACAACCCAGUUCUGGAUGAACAACGCAGUACAACAAUACACCAAAUGAAAUUUCUAAGCAGAAGUGGAAGAAUGCUGCUUAGAGAAAAAGUAGAAUUUAUUAAGGCUAAGUUAUCCUUGUUUAGAUGUGAAGGUGUAUUUUAUAUUUUGAUAGGACAUAGGGAAAAGGAAUAUUUCAUUUUUUAAUAAGCUAUAGUUUCCUAUAUAAAAACUUGUUUUUUCAUUGCCUGACAUCUGGUACCCAGAAUAUUUUUAAAUUUAUCUUUCGGGAUAGAAAUAUUGUCUGAUAUUUUCUGUUUCAAGGAUUAAAAGGUAUUUCAGAUAUACUUGAAAUAUUUUUUGAAAUACUUCAAGUCUAACAGAAUUUAAUAUUCUGGCAAUGAAGGCAGAUAUGCUGAUUAACUGUGUUCACUAAUUUCUUCAGCAGUAAUUACUUUUCUCUUAUCUUAAAAAACUAUACAGACACCCUCACCAUCACUCUCUCAAAUUCCAUAAAUAUCAACAUGUUAUGUUAAUCUAGAUUCUUGGAAAAAUUAAAGCUUUUUAGUAAAAAGUCAACAUUUAAAGUUAUCAAGUAUUGAAAAUGGUAUACAAAGAGUUCACACCAAGGUAAAGGUAAAAGAUUACCAAAGGCUUAAUUUGGAAUUAUAAAAUGGUUUUGUCACUGAGUAAGAGGAAAAAACUUUUAAAAAAGGUAACCAUUUCCAACUUAUGCCAGGUUACUCUCUCAAAAGGAGAGUAAAAAAAGAAAACACAAAGGAUUCAAACACACAUCUGUACUUAAAGAAAGUAAAUAAAAAGGUAAUGUUUUAAUUACAUAUGUUUGGUUCUAAAUUAUGGAACUCUGAAAAAUUUGAAAAUUAUGAACUAAAAUGAAUGAAGUCUUGUACACUAAUGAAAAUGGUUAAGGAGAAAAUCUAAACAAAUAGCUUAUUAUUUCUGUGGGGAGGAGCCAAAUUG